UUCGUUCCCGCUCAUGAUGAUCUCCGUCACCAGGUCUUGCUGCUAGCCCACUCGGCUGGCCAUGAGGGUGUGCAGAAAACCCUCCAUCGUCUCCGUGCCGACUUCUACAUUCCCGAUGAUCGUGCCCUCGUUCGCGAUUGGGUGCGCUCUUGUGCGACGUGUCAGCGCAACAAGACGGAGACGCUACGGCCAGCUGGUCUUCUUCAACCCCUGGAUGUGCCUUCUCAGGUUUGGGCCGAUAUCUCCAUGGACUUCAUCGAGGGGCUUCCCAAGGUGGGAGGCAAGUCGGUCAUUCUCACGGUGGUCGACCGCUUUUCUAAAUAUGCUCACUUCAUCGCGCUGGGGCAUCCUUACACCGCCGCGUCCGUGGCUCGUGCCUUCUUCGACGGUAUUGUCCGUCUGCAUGGAUUUCCUGCUUCGAUCGUCAGUGAUUGCGACACGGUGUUCACAGGCCAUGUCUGGCGCGAUCUCUUCAGGAUGGCGGGCGUUAAGCUCCGCUUCAGCACGACCUUCCACCCCCAGACGGACGGCCAAUCAGAGGUGGUUAACAAGGUGAUCGCCAUGUAUUUACGCUGUGUUACAGGUGAUCGGCCUCGUGCUUGGGUGGAUUGGCUCGCAUGGGCGGAGUACUGCUACAACACCUCCUACCACUCUGCCCUGCGUGCGACACCAUUUGAGGUGGUCUACGGGCGGCCACCUUCGCCGAUCUUGCCGGUGGACCCGGCUACGGCGAGGACGGAGGCCGCGGGCGACCUUAUUUGCACCCGUGACGAGAUGCUUGCGGAGGUCCGUCAGCGUCUCCUUCAGGCUCAGCAGCUGGCGCAACAUUACUACAACAACCACCAUCGCGAGGCGGAGUUCGCGGUGGGUGAUUGGGUGUGGCUGCGUCUUCUUCACCGC
Molecule: ribosomal RNA, 900 nt
Filed under: Triticum aestivum (bread wheat)
Lineage: Eukaryota; Viridiplantae; Streptophyta; Magnoliopsida; Poales; Poaceae
Description: partial small subunit ribosomal RNA
Source: RNAcentral